This 253-nucleotide ribosomal RNA is filed under the name uncultured bacterium. Its description in RNAcentral is "partial 16S ribosomal RNA". It matches the Rfam family "Bacterial small subunit ribosomal RNA", at positions 524 to 776 of the family's 1533-position model. The record is from RNAcentral.
UACGUAGGGGGCGAGCGUUGUCCGGAGUUACUGGGCGUAAAGCGCACGCAGGCGGUCUGCUAAGUUUGGAGUGACAGUUGGUGGCUCAACCACCAAAGUGCUUUGAAAACUGACAGACUUGAGGGCUUCAGAGGGACACGGAAUUCCGGGUGGAGUGGUGAAAUGCGUAGAGAUCCGGAGGAACACCGAUGGCGAAGGCAGCCCCCUGGGAUAACACUGACGCUGAGGAGCGAAAGCCAGGGGAGCAAACGGG